AAAUAUUGCUACUUAGUUUUGGUCAGCUGAAAAGAUGCAUUCCUCCAAUGGGACAGAACCCACAUGAAUUUACAGAAACAUCCAGGGGUCGAAGUUCAGCUGCAUCCACCCUAGAACCCAGAGGCUGCACCGAAAGACCAUGGUUUAUUCUCAUCCAUAGCCAACUUCUAGCUACCCCGAUGGCAGGUUAACACGUUCGGUAAAGUCCAAACAACCUGUGAGAGGUUCUCUCCUUCCAGAUUCGAAGAUUGCCUCCAGAAAGACAGAAGAGCAACAAGGUAAUUCAGCCAGAGUCGGCUUGAUUCCCUCUUCUCUGACUCCUGUGCAUCCCCUUCACACACCAUCCGAGCAUUUUCCUCAUCUUACAAACACCUGGGGACUCCGGCCCUCACAGAAACUCCCCUGGCUCCUCGCCAGGAAACAACAAGCCUAAGAAGAAAAGAAAAUAAAUAAACAACGACAGCGACGUCUCAUACGUUGAGGUCUCCUAUGUUGAGGUGCUGGAAAUGAAUUCCAAGUGGGAACUGCACUCAAAACCAAAUGUUUGGCUUUCAGUGACAACCAGCUACUUGGCUGAAAGCCCCAGCACCCCCGAGACCACUUAGGAGCGUGGGCCCAGAGCGCUUCCUGAGAACCGCAGCCUGCCCCACGCCUUCCCGAGGCAAGGAAGGAAUCGCUGCCAAGAGAAAACAACCUGGCUUCCCCCUACUACCUCAAGGCUGUUUGUGCUCGCUGUUCUUCUACCUUGGGAACGUUCCAAAUAGCUCCUCGGGAAUCAGACGGCGGCGUUUGGAGGGAGUUUACUCAAACUGGCAGAUCAGCACCUGUCCGUGUGUGUCUCUCUCUCACACACACAAAAUCAGACUCUCACCUGAUGCCUUGCUGCUGCUCGCAUUCCACGGGAAUUUAUGUCCAGCAGCAUGGAGCUGCUUCUGCGCCCUGAGCCUGGGCACAGGACAAGCUUCUGGGGAAUGCAUGAAAUUGGGAAGAGGAGCUGAGGGGCACUGGGAGGGGGCCCUGGGGAAAACACGCAAAGCGAAAGAAAACAUUUUCCAUGCACUUGACUCAGCUAGACGAAGCUCCUGGAAAAAUGCUAAUGAGGCUGCUCUGGCCCACGGUCACGGAAAGCCAGGUUCAAGGCCUCAGUUCCUCUGUCCAGUGCUACAGCAUUUGGGUUUUGCCCUUUUCCUUUCAUGGAUACCCCCUGUGGCAAGGUAUCCAUGACAACACAGCAGGCCCACCUUCCCAACUACUGUGCUUGGUUUCAGCACAGACUGAUGACAGCACCACACUCUAACUACGUGUGACGGGCACACGCAGACCAGGGGAGUUCCAGAGCUCAGACCAGGGGCAGCAUCACCAGCCACACGUGCAUGUUAGCAAAUGUGUUUCCCACGUGGGGUGCACCUUCCACAGCCUCCAGUGACGGAGGUGCCCACUUCAGUGGGCAAACCACACAAGCCUGGAUGAAAGACUGGCAAACUUCUUCCAUGUGUCGCUGUCCCUGACACCCUCAGUCACCAGGCAAGGGCAAGAGAACCAAUGGAAAAGCUGGACCCAGGCAGAAGCCUUGAUUGCAUGGACAAGGCGGCAUAAACACAGGAGGACGCUGCAAUGUUUUGUUUUUCCAGAUUUAAAGAAAUCUUUUCUCUUAAGCUAUCAACAAUUUGGUAAGAUAUACCUUUGUGAACAAAGAUGAAACAUUUAUUUUUCUCCUUACUUGAUCCCUCCAGAAUUCAGAAAUUCUGUGAGCCUUCUUAUUUUUAUGACAAUAUAUUUAUUUGCAUAAGUUCAAUAAUAAUCUCUUCUCCUUGCAACAAAACACAAUGGGAAACACUGGCUGUGUGGCUGAGGCUUUGACUGGAAUGUUGUAUUUGAGGGAGAUGUGCGUGGACUCAGAUAUGAUCAGACAGCUUCAAGGAACUGCUUUGGAAAACCGACCUGGUGCCCUGCCUUACAAGGCCCCAGAAAAGCAGCCUGAAGAAGAACCUACAUAUUCUCACUACGCUUACGUAAGUAAUCAGGCCAAACUUAAUGCAGACAAAUUUAGUUUCACUGAGAUUUUCUUCAAUAAAAAUAUAUACAGGUGA
Long non-coding RNA from Phyllostomus hastatus (greater spear-nosed bat), 2090 nucleotides. RefSeq lists it as uncharacterized. The transcript is spliced from 2 exons. NCBI's taxonomy places the organism in Eukaryota, Metazoa, Chordata, Mammalia, Chiroptera, Phyllostomidae. The record is from RefSeq and is a predicted model, not a curated record.